GUGGGGAAUAUUGGACAAUGGGCGAAAGCCUGAUCCAGCCAUGCCGCGUGUGUGAAGAAGGUCUUCGGAUUGUAAAGCACUUUAAGUUGGGAGGAAGGGCAGUAAGUUAAUACCUUGCUGUUUUGACGUUACCGACAGAAUAAGCACCGGCUAACUUCGUGCCAGCAGCCGCGGUAAUACGAAGGGUGCAAGCGUUAAUCGGAAUUACUGGGCGUAAAGCGCGCGUAGGUGGGUUUGUAAGUUGGAGGUGAAAUCCCCGGGCGCAACCUGGGAACUGCCUCCAAAACUGCAUGACUAGAGUACGGUAGAGGGUAGUGGAAUUUCCUGUGUAGCGGUGAAAUGCGUAGAUAUAGGAAGGAACACCAGUGGCGAAGGCGACUACCUGGACUGAUACUGACACUGAGGUGCGAAAGCGUGGGGAGCAAACAGGAUUAGAUACCCCAGUAGUCC
Molecule: ribosomal RNA, 450 nt
Filed under: uncultured bacterium
Lineage: Bacteria
Description: partial 16S ribosomal RNA
Rfam family: Bacterial small subunit ribosomal RNA
Source: RNAcentral